Molecule: ribosomal RNA, 253 nt
Filed under: uncultured bacterium
Lineage: Bacteria
Description: partial 16S ribosomal RNA
Rfam family: Bacterial small subunit ribosomal RNA
Source: RNAcentral
UACGUAGGGUGCGAGCGUUAAUCGGAAUUACUGGGCGUAAAGCGUGCGCAGGCGGCGCGUUAAGACAGGUGUGAAAGCCCCGAGCUUAACUUGGGAAUUGCGCUUGUGACUGGCGUGCUGGAGUGUGGCAGAGGGAGGUGGAAUUCCACGUGUAGCAGUGAAAUGCGUAGAUAUGCGGAGGAACACCGAUGGCGAAGGCGGCUUCCUGGACCGACACUGACGCUGAGGCGCGAAAGCUAGGGGAUCAAACAGG